Molecule: non-coding RNA, 30 nt
Filed under: Mus musculus (house mouse)
Lineage: Eukaryota; Metazoa; Chordata; Mammalia; Rodentia; Muridae
Source: RNAcentral
UCNCACUGUUUAAGGAUCUGCUUGAUGCUA